AGGGUUCGAUUCUGGCUCAGGACGAACGCUGGCGGCGUGCCUAACACAUGCAAGUCGAACGGAGUUAAUGAUUCGGUGUAACUUAGUGGCGAACGGGUGAGUAACGCGUGAACAACCUGACCCAAAGAGGGGGAUAACAUUUGGAAACAGAUGCUAAUACCGCAUAAGACCACAACGUCACAUGGCGAAGGGGUCAAAGGAGCAAUCCGCUUUGGGAGGGGUUCGCGUCCCAUUAGGUAGAUGGCGGGGUAACGGCCCACCAUGCCAACGAUGGGUAGCCGAGCUGAGAGGCUGAUCGGCCACACUGGAACUGAGACACGGUCCAGACUCCUACGGGAGGCAGCAGUGGGGAAUAUUGGGCAAUGGGCGCAAGCCUGACCCAGCAACGCCGCGUGAGGGAAGAAGGUUUUCGGAUUGUAAACCUCUGUCGCAGAAGACGAAGGAAGUGACGGUAUUCUGUGAGGAAGCCCCGGCUAACUACGUGCCAGCCGCGGC
This 495-nucleotide ribosomal RNA is filed under the name uncultured bacterium. RNAcentral describes it as "bacterial SSU rRNA". It matches the Rfam family "Bacterial small subunit ribosomal RNA", at positions 8 to 518 of the family's 1533-position model. The record is from RNAcentral.